RNAcentral lists this long non-coding RNA (1365 nucleotides) under Monodelphis domestica (gray short-tailed opossum). RNAcentral describes it as "lncRNA (ENSMODG00000036751.1)". Lineage: Eukaryota; Metazoa; Chordata; Mammalia; Didelphimorphia; Didelphidae. The record is from RNAcentral.
UAUCCCCUUGUUUUAUAAUCUAAAGACAGGCCCAAACCCAGAUCGAAAUAUUUCUAAUAUAAUUUCUUUUGGCGGAGGAAAGAGGGGAAAAAGGUUAAGUGGUUGAGGAUAGCCCUAUCCUCUACCCCCCUUGCAGAUUGGCUUUCAAAGUGUGGAGGCCAGAAGCUUAGGGGCCUUGGCCUCCCUUCCCACCAACUGCUUCUUUGUCCCUUACACUCAGUUGACUAACUUCUAAUGUUCAGUUCAAGGGACAGGUAAGGGAGAGAGAUCCAAGUGAAAGGAUCUGGCUGGCUUAGGCCAGAGUGAGUCCAAAAAAAUCCCUCUUGAGAAAUCAGAUAGCUGUUGAUGAAUCUCAGGGGAGGUGUUGAGGGUCUCUGAAUGGAGUCAGGUCCCAACUGGUAGACAAAUCUGGUUGAACUCCUUCUCAGCCUCUGGAAACUGCUCCCUCCUUCUCCUCCCCUUCCCAGGCUGGAAGUGUCUUGUCAGUUGCUUCAGAGUUCUAUCCAGCUUUCAGAACUCCCUGGAUUUUCUUGCCCCUCCUCCACUGCUCUUCAGGCUGAUCUGUCAUCAGACCGGCUUCUCAUCUCAAUCCCAGGGUCUCUCUUACUUUAGAAGAGGUCUUCAAUAGCAGUGUUGUUUGUUCUCAUCGAACCAGUCCUGGUGGUUGCGUUGUUUGGGGUCUAGGACUGCAAGACCAAGAAUUAAGGGUAUUGUUUAAAACAAUAAUUUCUAAAAUCCUGUGAAUAUAACCUGUGCUCAAUAUUUUAAAGAAUCUAUUGGAUCUCGGUAAAAAGCCAAAUUAAUUCUCAAGAACUCCUUUCAUAUAAUCUAAGUAGUUAGAUAAUGUUACUUACAAAUGAGUUGCCAUCAAACUCAUUAAAAGGACAUAGUAUUUCAAGGUUUAUAUAAAUGGAUUCAGCAAUUUUUAGGCGUAUUCCCAAGAGAAAAAAAUCACUGGUGAAUUGAUACUGCCCUAAAAGCCAAACUGAUCCCAAGUAAUUUAGUUUUAGCUAUUCAUCUUUUCCUCAUAUUUUCUGAAUCAAUUCUUAUCAUGAUUUUUAAAUCACUUGGAAGUUGAUUAGCACUACACUUCAUUUUGGCCAGGAAGGCAUACUUGAUUAUGUUCAGGAUUUAUUUUUGGUUUAGCAUUGUUUAUUUCAUGACAUAAAUACUGUGCACUUUAAAGAGGGAAAAAAAAUGGCCAUAGUUACUUUCACAGUGCCAAUAGUGACUCAUGAAUGGUAUUAUUCAUUAGGUCUGUUCCUGAGUUAUGUGGCUAGAAGUUGCACUUUUUAGAUUUCAUGUGUAUAUUAACAUGAUUUACAAAGUGAGAAUAAAAUUAGGAAAAUUAGAAAUGAAAAUUCA